CCGCUCAGAGGUAAACGGGUGUAGUCAAGCUGCAAGCCUCGGGGAUUCAGCUGGUCAGUAUGGCGUGAGCCUGGGCACAUCGGAUGUCUGGGGAAGUCCGUUUAGUUGACGGGCCUGGCUCUUUUCGGAGAGUCGGGUGGGCGUNACGUUUACACACGUUGUCCGCUUCCCCUACGUACGGUCCGGCUGGCCGGUGCAUUUCCUCGGGGCGUAAACCACGACCGCCGUCGCUGUCGGUCUGCUGUAGUUAAACCGGUUGAGCGGGGUCCUAGUGGCUUCGUUUGGUCGGGACGGCAGGUAGCCUGGCGGGCGCUUCGGCGUUUGCUGGGUGUAACCAAGCUGACUAUAGUGGUACUAGUAACUGUGCAGUACGGUGGAGAUUGCGGCUUUGGUGUNGGCGGUCGCGCCUAAGUGCGUCGGCGUGAUGCGGGUCUGGUGACUUGUAGCUUGCGCAAGCAGGCCUGGUUGCGGCCCCGUUACGGCAUGGCGUGCGGUGGCGUCCGUUCACCUUCAUUAGUGCCAACAGUCUGUGGUGUA
RNAcentral lists this ribosomal RNA (537 nucleotides) under Chimaericola leptogaster. RNAcentral describes it as "partial 28S ribosomal RNA". Lineage: Eukaryota; Metazoa; Platyhelminthes; Monogenea; Chimaericolidea; Chimaericolidae. The record is from RNAcentral.